Molecule: ribosomal RNA, 478 nt
Filed under: uncultured organism
Description: partial 16S ribosomal RNA
Rfam family: Bacterial small subunit ribosomal RNA
Source: RNAcentral
CGUACACUCCUGCGGGAGGCAGCAGUGGGGAAUAUUGCACAAUGGGCGCAAGCCUGAUGCAGCCAUGCCGCGUGUAUGAAGAAGGCCUUCGGGUUGUAAAGUACUUUCAGCGGGGAGGAAGGCGAUAAGGUUAAUAACCUUGUCGAUUGACGUUACCCGCAGAAGAAGCACCGGCUAACUCCGUGCCAGCAGCCGCGGUAAUACGGAGGGUGCAAGCGUUAAUCGGAAUUACUGGGCGUAAAGCGCACGCAGGCGGUCUGUCAAGUCGGAUGUGAAAUCCCCGGGCUCAACCUGGGAACUGCAUUCGAAACUGGCAGGCUAGAGUCUUGUAGAGGGGGGUAGAAUUCCAGGUGUAGCGGUGAAAUGCGUAGAGAUCUGGAGGAAUACCGGUGGCGAAGGCGGCCCCCUGGACAAAGACUGACGCUCAGGUGCGAAAGCGUGGGGAGCAAACAGGAUUAGAUACCCGGGUAGUCCCAUG